AGAUUGAACGCUGGCGGCAUGCUUUACACAUGCAAGUCGAACGGUAACAGGCCGCAAGGUGCUGACGAGUGGCGAACGGGUGAGUAAUAUAUCGGAACGUGCCCAGUCGUGGGGGAUAACGUAGAGAAAUUUACGCUAAUACCGCAUACGAUCCAAGGAUGAAAGCGGGGGAUCGCAAGACCUCGCGCGAUUGGAGCGGCUGAUAUCAGAUUAGGUUGUUGGUGAGGUAAAAGCUCACCAAGCCGACGAUCUGUAGCUGGUUUGAGAGAACGACCAGCCACACUGGGACUGAGACACGGCCCAGACUCCUACGGGAGCAGCAGUGGGGAAUUUUGGACAA
Molecule: ribosomal RNA, 340 nt
Filed under: uncultured soil bacterium
Lineage: Bacteria
Description: bacterial SSU rRNA
Rfam family: Bacterial small subunit ribosomal RNA
Source: RNAcentral